Molecule: ribosomal RNA, 500 nt
Filed under: uncultured bacterium
Lineage: Bacteria
Description: partial 16S ribosomal RNA
Rfam family: Bacterial small subunit ribosomal RNA
Source: RNAcentral
AUUGAACGCUGGCGGAAUGCUUUACACAUGCAAGUCGAACGGCAGCACGGGGGCAACCCUGGUGGCGAGUGGCGAACGGGUGAGUAACACAUCGGAACGUGCCCAGUCGUGGGGGAUAACGUAGCGAAAGCUACGCUAAUACCGCAUACGAUCUACGGAUGAAAGCGGGGGAUCGCAAGACCUCGCGCGAUUGGAGCGGCCGAUGGCAGAUUAGGUAGGUGGUGGGGUAAAGGCUCACCAAGCCGACGAUCUGUAGCGGGUCUGCGAGGGCGACCAGCCACACUGGGACUGAGACACGGCCCAGACUCCUACGGGAGGCGGCAGUGGGGAAUUUUGGACAAUGGGCGCAAGCCUGAUCCAGCCAUUCCGCGUGCAGGAUGAAGGCCCUCGGGUUGUGAACUGCUUUUGUACGGAACGAAACGGCUCUCUCUAAUACAGGGGGCUAAUGACGGUACCGUAAGAAUAAGCACCGGCUAACUACGUGCCAGCAGCCGCCGUAA